Molecule: ribosomal RNA, 253 nt
Filed under: uncultured bacterium
Lineage: Bacteria
Description: partial 16S ribosomal RNA
Rfam family: Bacterial small subunit ribosomal RNA
Source: RNAcentral
UACGUAGGGUGCGAGCGUUGUCCGGAUUUAUUGGGCGUAAAGGGCUCGUAGGCGGCGUGUCGCGUCGGGAGUGAAAGACCGGGGCUUAACCCCGGUUCUGCUUCCGGUACGGGCAUGCUGGAGUGUGGCAGGGGAGACUGGAAUUCCCGGUGUAGCGGUGAAAUGCGCAGAUAUCGGGAAGAACACCCGUGGCGAAGGCGGCUCUCUGGGACGGUACUGACGCUGAGACGCGAAAGCGUGGGGAGCGAACAGG